Molecule: non-coding RNA, 393 nt
Organism: Pelobates cultripes (western spadefoot toad)
Lineage: Eukaryota; Metazoa; Chordata; Amphibia; Anura; Pelobatidae
Source: the annotation of a GenBank genome assembly
AUUCUGUCAAGGCGGGCUGUGAAGUCGGCUUGCUCCCCAUAUGGAACAGUGGGCCUCGUGACAUCCACCAUUUUUUUUUAGAGAGGGCCCGCAGGCUGUGGUGAGUCAGCAGGAUCUCCACGGGGUGGACCGAGAUGACCCCCGGAAAUCUAGAUGGGGGUAAUGGGGCAAUUAUGGGAUACCACCAAGGCUCUGGACACUCAAGUUCGGUAGAUCAGCAACCUCUCCCGCUCAGCAUGUACACCAGGCCGCACUGCGUCGAGUCAAGUAUACCGGUAAUUGGUAAGCUGGAUAACAUUUAAUUGAGUCCCGGUACUCUGCUUCGGUUAGGGAGCAUGAGAGGCACUACUGGAGUCAUGCAGGGAGCAAUAAAGGGCAGAUAUAUAGGUAAAC